GAUGAACGCUGGCGGCGUGCCUAAUACAUGCAAGUCGAGCGAACAGACGAGGAGCUUGCUCCUCUGACGUUAGCGGCGGACGGGUGAGUAACACGUGGAUAACCUACCUAUAAGACUGGGAUAACUUCGGGAAACCGGAGCUAAUACCGGAUAAUAUAUUGAACCGCAUGGUUCAAUAGUGAAAGACGGUUUUGCUGUCACUUAUAGAUGGAUCCGCGCCGCAUUAGCUAGUUGGUAAGGUAACGGCUUACCAAGGCGACGAUGCGUAGCCGACCUGAGAGGGUGAUCGGCCACACUGGAACUGAGACACGGUCCAGACUCCUACGGGAGGCAGCAGUAGGGAAUCUUCCGCAAUGGGCGAAAGCCUGACGGAGCAACGCCGCGUGAGUGAUGAAGGUCUUCGGAUCGUAAAACUCUGUUAUUAGGGAAGAACAAAUGUGUAAGGAGCUAUGCACGGCUUGACGGUACCUAAUCAGAAAGCAACGGCUAACUACGUG
This 497-nucleotide ribosomal RNA is filed under the name uncultured bacterium. RNAcentral's name for it is "partial 16S ribosomal RNA". It matches the Rfam family "Bacterial small subunit ribosomal RNA", at positions 28 to 507 of the family's 1533-position model. The record is from RNAcentral.